RNAcentral lists this ribosomal RNA (240 nucleotides) under uncultured bacterium. Its description in RNAcentral is "partial 16S ribosomal RNA". It matches the Rfam family "Bacterial small subunit ribosomal RNA", at positions 530 to 769 of the family's 1533-position model. The record is from RNAcentral.
GGGGGCAAGCGUUAUCCGGAUUUACUGGGCGUAAAGGGAGCGUAGACGGUUCUGCAAGUCUGGAGUGAAAGCCCGGGGCUCAACCCCGGGACUGCUUUGGAAACUGUGGAACUGGAGUGCAGGAGAGGUAAGUGGAAUUCCUAGUGUAGCGGUGAAAUGCGUAGGUAUUAGGAGGAACACCAGCGGCGAAGGCGGCUUACUGGACUGUAACUGACGUUGAGGCUCGAAAGCGUGGGGAGC